RNAcentral lists this ribosomal RNA (810 nucleotides) under Echinostomatidae sp. JAM2049223. RNAcentral describes it as "eukaryotic LSU rRNA". It matches the Rfam family "Eukaryotic large subunit ribosomal RNA", at positions 87 to 625 of the family's 3401-position model. The record is from RNAcentral. Lineage: Eukaryota; Metazoa; Platyhelminthes; Trematoda; Plagiorchiida; Echinostomatidae.
CGGCGAGUGACAGGGAUAAGCCCAGCACCGAAGCCUGUGGCCGUUUGGCCCCUAGGCAAUGUGGUGUUCAGGUUAGCUCGCGGGGAUGCUGCUCCACCCUAAGUCCUAUAAUGAGUAAGGUUACUCGGACAUGGCCCACAGAGGGUGAAAGGCCCGUGGGGGUGGAGAGUCAGAUUGGCCAGUAUCUCCCUGAGCAGACCUUGGAGUCGGGUUGUUUGUGAAUGCAGCCCAAAGCGGGUGGUAAACUCCAUCCAAGGCUAAAUACUUGCACGAGUCCGAUAGCGAACAAGUACCGUGAGGGAAAGUUGAAAAGUACUUUGAAGAGAGAGUAAACAGUGCGUGAAACCGCUCAGAGGUAAACGGGUGGAGUUGAACUGCAAGCUCUGAGGAUUCAGCUGGUGAGUUUGGCAUGAGCUUGGUCAUGUGGGUUGUGUGUUCGGGUCUGCUUAGCUGCAGGUCCUCGCCUUUGGUGGGGAUGCGCGUAUCGCUUAUCAAGCGUUGUGCGCCCGUUCUUGUCGGACCUGCUCGCCAGUGCACUUUCUCAGAGUGUUCACCACGACCGGCGUUGUCGUCUGGCUGGUGCGGUUAAACCGGUCUUGUAGGGUCCUUGUGACCUUGCCUGGUCGGGAUGGCAGGUAGCCCGUUGUGUACUUCGGUGUGCUUCGGGUGUAAUAGCCGACUGCAUCGGUUCUGUGCGGUACGUCGGAGACGGCGGCUUGUUGUGCGUGCGGGCGUGCCUGUUGCGCUGGCGGCUCUGGGUCUGGUUGCCUUGUUGCUUGUAAAUGCAAGCCUGGUGAUGGCCUGGGGUCG